CCUACGGGUGGCAGCAGUGGGGAAUAUUGGACAAUGGGCGAAAGCCUGAUCCAGCCAUGCCGCGUGUGUGAAGAAGGCCUUCGGGUUGUAAAGCACUUUCAGUGGGGAAGAAAGCCUUGGGGCUAAUACCCUCGAGGAAGGACAUCACCCACAGAAGAAGCACCGGCUAACUCCGUGCCAGCAGCCGCGGUAAUACGGAGGGUGCGAGCGUUAAUCGGAAUUACUGGGCGUAAAGCGCGCGUAGGCGGUCUGAUAAGCCGGUUGUGAAAGCCCCGGGCUCAACCUGGGAACGGCAUCCGGAACGGUCAGGCUAGAGUGCAGGAGAGGAAGGUAGAAUUCCAGGUGUAGCGGUGAAAUGCGUAGAGAUCGGGAGGAAUACCAGUGGCGAAGGCGGCCUUCUGGACUGACACUGACGCUGAGGUGCGAAAGCGUGGGUAGCAAACAGGAUUAGAUACCCGAGUAGUC
RNAcentral lists this ribosomal RNA (465 nucleotides) under Vreelandella stevensii. Its description in RNAcentral is "partial 16S ribosomal RNA". It matches the Rfam family "Bacterial small subunit ribosomal RNA", at positions 338 to 795 of the family's 1533-position model. Lineage: Bacteria; Pseudomonadati; Pseudomonadota; Gammaproteobacteria; Oceanospirillales; Halomonadaceae. The record is from RNAcentral.